AUGCCAGAGAUGACCCAGCCCAGCGAUGUGCUAACACCUCCUCCCACUGCCAGCACUUCCAUGGACGGCAAUGUAGUGGCCAUCAUCAUAGCUGCAACAGUUUCUUCAUCUGUGUUCGUAGUGGCGAUCUUGGUGCUGCUACUGCUCUUGUACCACCGGGACCCCCUGUGCUGCCAGUUCCUCUGCUCCUGCCGUUUCUUUCAGAGUCCGAGCCAAUAUGAUUGUCCUCCUCCAUACUUCAGCAGUAACCAGCGACUGGUGGGACCCCAAUCGGGAGCACAGCAAUUGGAGAGCCCUGCCGAGAAUCCUGGGGUGCAGGGAGAUGAACUAUUCUGCGUUGGACCCCCCAGCAGCUAUCAGCUCCCUCCCUGGGAGCAGCUGCGCUUGCCAAGCUACGAGAGCGUGCGGAAGAAGGAUCGGCAGCGGGAGAUCCAUCAGCUGAUUGCCGAGAGGUUUGGACUGUGGGUGGACCCCUCCCAGGAGAUGCCACCUCCCUAUGAGCAAGCCCUAAGGCAUCCUCCAGCUGUCUCAGGGACUGGAGCAGGGUCAGAGUUACCAGAUGGGCAUGGAUUGCUGGACGCAUUCCAGGCCUCCAUCAGCUACCAAACUCAAAGGAACACAGCUGUGUAGAACGGGAAUCAACCCUGGAACACCUCUCCUUCCUUCUGUGGCAAGGACAGCAGGGCCUGUGAGGUCUCUCCCUGCCGGCAGGGCGGAAUGGAACUUCAUGCCUUCGGCCAGUCACACAAACAGCUGAGAACCCCUUGUGCCAAUCACAGGCAAAGCAGUGUUGAUUUCCAUCAACUCACUCCCCUCCAAGAACGAAGGUGGAGUGAAGACCAGGAUCGAUUUAACAGCCAUCUCUCUCCCAGAAACAGUGGAAUAAACCUGAGGGGAUUUCUGCUCCA
Molecule: long non-coding RNA, 908 nt
Filed under: Chrysemys picta bellii (western painted turtle)
Lineage: Eukaryota; Metazoa; Chordata; Testudines; Emydidae
Description: lncRNA (ENSCPBG00000028178.1)
Source: RNAcentral